This 491-nucleotide ribosomal RNA is filed under the name uncultured bacterium. RNAcentral's name for it is "partial 16S ribosomal RNA". It matches the Rfam family "Bacterial small subunit ribosomal RNA", at positions 29 to 506 of the family's 1533-position model. The record is from RNAcentral.
AGUGAACGCUGGCGGUAGGCCUAACACAUGCAAGUCGAACGGCAGCACAGUAAGAGCUUGCUCUUACGGGUGGCGAGUGGCGGACGGGUGAGGAAUACAUCGGAAUCUACUUUUUCGUGGGGGAUAACGUAGGGAAACUUACGCUAAUACCGCAUACGACCUACGGGUGAAAGCAGGGGAUCUUCGGACCUUGCGCGAUUGAAUGAGCCGAUGUCGGAUUAGCUAGUUGGCGGGGUAAAGGCCCACCAAGGCGACGAUCCGUAGCUGGUCUGAGAGGAUGAUCAGCCACACUGGAACUGAGACACGGCCCAGACUCCUACGGGAGGCAGCAGUGGGGAAUAUUGGACAAUGGGCGCAAGCCUGAUCCAGCCAUACCGCGUGGGUGAAGAAGGCCUUCGGGUUGUAAAGCCAUUUUGUUGGGAAAGAAAAGCAGCAGGUUAAAACCCCGCUGUUCUGACGGUACCCAAAGAAUAAGCACCGGCUAACUUCGU